This 1133-nucleotide long non-coding RNA is filed under the name Homo sapiens (human). Its description in RNAcentral is "HSALNT0099283". Lineage: Eukaryota; Metazoa; Chordata; Mammalia; Primates; Hominidae. The record is from RNAcentral.
GUGGGGGCCAGAUAAGAGAAUAAACGCAGCCUGCCCGAGCUGGCAGUGGUAGUUUGCUCCGGUUUCUUUCCACACUGUGGAAGUUUUAUUUUUUUGCUCUUUGGGGUAAAUCUGGCUGCUGUUUAUACUUUGGGUCCACACUGCCUCUAUGAGCUGUAACUCUCGCCGCGAAGGUCUCUAGCUUCACUCCUGAACCAGCGAGAUCACGACCCUACCAGAAGGAAGAAACUCCGAACACAUCUGAACAUCAGAAGGAGCAAACUCCAGAUACGCCGCCUUUAGGAACUGUAACACAUACCGCAAGGGUCCGCGGCUUCAUUCUUGAAGUCAGUGAGACCAAGAACUUACCAAUUCCAGACACAGUUUUAGUAUUUGUUAGUAAAAGUACGGCCCCAAUAUUGCACGGGACAUACGUAUACUAAAUUGUUACUAUCUGAAAUUCACAUUUAACUGGAUGUUCUGUAUUUUCAUCUGGCUACUUUGACAACCCCUCUGAGGAGUUGUGUGACAAAGGGAGCAGAGAUGGGCGGUAGUUGCUAGAGAGGCAUGGUAUCAAGGAAAAAGUCUGUUUUAAGAUGGGAGCUAUUAACAAAACAUGUAAAGAGGGAACCGCUGAUGCAGGAGAGAGGGAGCAACUGCAGAGCAAGUCUUUGAGAAAGGGCAUCCACAUUAAUCUGGAUAAAGGCUGCUUCUUCAGCCACAGCUAAGGUGCAUGUAAUAGGAAUGAGAGCCACCUGUGUUUCAGAAAGCGUCUGGGAUUUUAGAGCUGCUUGUAACUGCAGCCUAACACAGCCUCAGCCGACUGAUACAUCCAGUGUCGUCAAAACAGAGCAGUUAUCCUUCAUGAAUUCCACUGGGGAUUCUGCUAUACAGCUUCAUAAGAAACUCUGGGGGUAUCAUAUCUCAAACCAAGCUCCAUCUUCUUCCUCCAGUUUAAAAGACCAGCAUCUUCAUGGAGACAGUGACUGAAACCACAAAGGUGCUCUCCAUCACCAUCCCCAUUCUAUCAAGCAAGGAGGCCUGUUGAACCAAGCAGCCGGCUCAUUGUUUGAGAAACAGUUGUUUCAUGGGUGAAUUGACCUCAUCUUCGGCAGCCACCGGUUUGCUAAGCAUUUACUUUGAACAUUUCUAUG